GCUGGGCGGAAGCUCUCCGAAGAGGCCACGUGCUGGGUGUCUGUCACCCUUGUUGCGCCUCUGGGAAGGUCUGAGAGAAGGGCCGAGCAUCACCCUAGCAGGGUGCCGCCUCCUGGAGGUGGGUGAGUCCCCAGCGAUACGGGUCCCGGCGAAGUCCGAUAUUGGGCAGGAGAAGCUGGAAACGGGGGAACUCCGCCCCCCUCCCGCGGAUGCCUCCGUGGCUCGCUUGGGAUUUGGGAAUGACUCACGGCCAGCAAUCUUGAGUACAAUGGGAAGAGGUGAAGCAUAAGCGAACAGCGGCUUCAUAACCCAAUUCAGACUAGUCUCCAUCCAGC
Podarcis muralis (Common wall lizard) is the source of this 335-nucleotide ribozyme. It matches the Rfam family "Nuclear RNase P". Rfam says of the family: Ribonuclease P (RNase P) is a ubiquitous endoribonuclease, found in archaea, bacteria and eukarya as well as chloroplasts and mitochondria. Lineage: Eukaryota; Metazoa; Chordata; Lepidosauria; Squamata; Lacertidae. The record is from Ensembl.